GGGGCGGGGGCGGGGGCGGGAAGGCGGGGGAGUGUUUUGUUCCCUGCUCUGUCCCGGCACUCAGAGCAGUGCCUGGCAGGGGUGGGUACUCAGUACACACCUGUUAGCAAGUGACUCCGAUGCAGGGACCGUUCUCUCUAAUCUCCAAGUCCACCUUUCUUAUGUUAUACUAAGGAUUUUCAGUGUUUUUUCAUGCACCAUCCAAUCUUUUUUGACUUUUAGAUCAUAUGCCUCAGAGCCCAUCUGGGUACAAAAACACCCGUUUUCAAAAAAGGAACCAGAAAGUGGUUUCACCUCGCUUUAGGAUGUGAAUGAAAGCCUCUCCUUCCGUCUCCCGAGAACGGACUUUCAGAAGCUGCAGGUGCCCAGGUCCAGGCCCCACGCUGUGGCCCCGCAGGGACUGUACUCACUCUUUAUUUUUCUCUUUUCCAGCUCUCCACAAGCCAACAGCUCUCUCCUGGCUUUGAUUUUCAACCAUUUAAGUUGAAAAAAAUUCAAAACAAAUGAAAGGCACUUAAGAGAAAGCCUUGAGGAGUUCAGCAGGCCACCCGAAGUGAAGGGACUCCUUUGGGGGUCUUUGUUGUUAUCAAUUAUUUAUUGAGCCCUGAUGUGUUCCUGGCGCCACCAAGACUGAGAGGAGACAGGGUCCCUGCCCUGGGUCAUCCCAACGAAGAAGGGAGAGUUUGUGAAGCUUAAAAAUGUCCCAGAUGGAUAGGCCUCAUCACUCCUCAGAUGGUUCUCGAAGGAUAACACACAGGCCAAUGGGCAGCCCUAGGCCAGGGGGAUUACCAAGACAUGAAGACUUUCUUUCUGUCUCAGCAACCUUCAUGCUUGGUCAAGCAAAGGUGUUGCUUAAGUCAAACCCAGGGCAGGGGAGAGCAGUUGAAGCAAAGUGAGUCUUUGGAGGCCCUGUGGUUGUGGGGUCUGGUGUGGAGACAAUGAGAACGGAAAAGGUGGGAGAGGAGCAGUCAACCCGUGAAUGGCCCCAUUCAGACGCCUUUACCUGGAAGACGUGGCAGGUCUACUGGGGUUCAUCCCAUCUGAGCCAGGCCUGGCUUUUCUUGGCUGCAAGCUGAGAGCUGGGUCCAGGUCUGCUGAACCAAGGUUCUCCCAUCUUCCUUGAGCCAGUGACAAUCAGAGGCCUAUUUCUUUCAUGAUGGAAGGCAGGAGAACAAGCAGAUAAGAACCAAAGGACAUCCGGCCUUUGCGUUCUCUCCACCAGCUCCCGGCUCACCCACCCAGCAGCUCAGCACCUGCGAAAUCUGUCUCCCGAUGCACACUUGCUAACCGCGUGGGUGUGAGCACAACGAUGGGAAACAGCGGAAGUCCCCGGAGUGCAGACUCAGGAGUGAACCUGCCUGAAGAGUGGCGUCUAACGCACACGCUGUGGUCAGCUCCACCCCACUCUGGGUCCCGGGAGUAGGAACAAGUGCGUAUUUUGCUUGCAGGGCAGGUGUUUCAUCCACAUUAUUGCAGGAACAGAUGAAUUUAAUUAAAAGAACACCACAGUGGGCACCUCUUCCAGGGAUGCCUCCCUCUAAGAACAUGACACUGAGAUGAUCAAGGUUCUAAAAGGGCGAUCAAAUUACUCUCCGAAAAUGAAACUGCUCAGACAGAAUGACAAUUAAAUUAAUAACAACCAAGACAAUGCCCAGAUUUCAUCUCCGCUCACAGCCCCUCCUGUGUGCUGUAUGAUCAGGUUCUUGGGGGUGGCUCCAGAUACAGCAAACAGUCAGGAUUAAUCCACAAGAGUGAGCUGUCAGCAUGAGGUUCCCCUACAGUGGAGCUUGCCAAGGUCCGUGGCUCCCAGGGCACCCGUUCCAGGGCUAACAGAUGAAGCAUGGAAACGCUGUGUGGAGUGAGCUAAGCAGCCGUUCUCAGGAGAAAACAGACAAAUCCUCCUGCACCCUGGCUCACCAGCUUUGUGGCCUGUUUUAUGUCAUCUUUGCUGAGCUCCACCGGGUCACCCCUCCUGCUGGCUUUGUGAUACUGACAUUUCAGGCACUGGCACAGAUAUAUUGGCCUUCCUGGCUGGGAUUUCACGGACGGAGUGAGCAGUGCUGGCUUGGAGGAGCCGUGGCGGCACAGGGCCUGUGCUCUCAGCUGAUCAGCGCCUGUCCUGACCCCAAAGGGCCCUCGCAGCACUGUUUGAAAUUGCUCUUGCCAUGUUUGGAACCGAUUCCUCAGUACGUUUCAGACUCAUUGUUGUGAUUUUGGUUUCAAUCCAGGGACACACCGUGGCCAAUGGAGUGUCUCAACAGCAUCUAUGAUCGCUGUUUCCCAGAGACAGCAUCUCAGAUACCGAUGCUGAAAGAGAAACAGCAGCCUGUCCCCAAGUGGCAGGAAAUAGUCCAUUUUAACGGCAAUUUCAUAAGUGGCAGAUGAUUUUUAUUGUAAUUUUCUGGUGAGCUGAUUAAGUGGAGGCAGAGUCAGUUCUGAGGCGUCAAUGUCUUUAAUAACUCGGGGAAACCGAGGCCACGCUCAGCGGGAACACUGAGUCCAUGGAAAACAGGCCCUGGGCCCACUGAUGUGCAUAAUUCCACGUUUGCCCCUCAUGUAACCAGGAUGGUAAAUUACAGGUGUCAGAUAAUCACGCUCUGGAGUGGCUACUUGAGGAUGCGAUCGACCAAUUUAAGCUCCGUCUGACACAUGAUCAAUAGCCCGUGAUGCUGCAUGGAAUUGCAGGCACAGUGUCCAAACCUGCAGAGCAGUGGCUCCCAGCUGGGGCAACUUUGCCCCCCAGAGGACACUUGGCAAUGUCUGGAUACGUUUGCAAUUGUCACAACUAGGAAAGGAGGUACCCAUAGGAUACACAGGAAAGUCCUCACACAGUUGUAUCCUGCCCAGACUGUCCGUAGAGCCAGGGUGAGAUGCUCUGACAGAGCCACAGUGAACAUUGCAUUCCAUCAUCUGGGUAUCUCCAGGAAUGUAUGUAGCUGGAUGUCUGGCUUUUCAUCUGGGUUUCACCAGCCUCAUGCAGAACUGAAACCAUGUGCAAAUCAGUUCUCAUACUUGCUCUCCUGCCUCCUUCCUAUUGUAAUUUUUUCUUCCCACCUUUUUUAUUGUUACUAGAGAAAUGAUGAAGAAAAAGAAGAGGCUGGAGAGUCACUCAAAAUUUUGUUUUCCUCAAUUAAAAAGAAGUAAUUUAGAAGUUACUCAAUGAUGUUUUCUUUAAUUAAAAAAAAAACUAGUUUGGGAAAGCAGAAAUUUAAUGAAGACAGAAAACACAGGUUUCAUGAAAAAGUUCAGCAUCCCAGGAAAGGAGCAAAGAGAAGUCUGCAGAUGAGAGUUGCUCAGUGUCAGGACUCAGAAAACAAUACCCCAAGAUAAUGUUCAAACCUGAGUGCUUUGAACAAAGGAUAUUGAAAGACCUCAGAAGAGGGCCUCAGAACUCACAUGUCUCUCUGACCUUCUCCUGUCUCUCCUUCACUUCCAAAGCAUGAUCUUUGGCCAGGGGAUCUCUCUGGGAUUCCCUUAUCUGCCUGAGGGAUGUACUUCCAAAAGAAAUGUGACUGGCAUGACCUCCUCCCUAGGAAUCUCUUCAAACAGCCGGGAAAGACUGGUCACCUGAGAGGAGAUUGGAAGUCCUCACUGCACUCAGAAAGGCUGUUGUCCAUUCUUCUAGAGACUUUAUCUGAAUAACAAGGCAACCUUUGUUUACCAUUCAGUUCCUCCCCUUUCCUUUCUAACUUGUCACCACCUCCCCCAAAAGCCUCAAGCCUCCACUCCUACAAGCUAUAAAGACUUCAUCCAUC
Long non-coding RNA from Pan troglodytes (chimpanzee), 3755 nucleotides. RefSeq lists it as uncharacterized. The transcript is spliced from 4 exons. The record is from RefSeq and is a predicted model, not a curated record. Lineage: Eukaryota; Metazoa; Chordata; Mammalia; Primates; Hominidae.